Molecule: ribosomal RNA, 759 nt
Filed under: uncultured Prevotella sp.
Lineage: Bacteria; Pseudomonadati; Bacteroidota; Bacteroidia; Bacteroidales; Prevotellaceae
Description: bacterial SSU rRNA
Rfam family: Bacterial small subunit ribosomal RNA
Source: RNAcentral
GAUGAACGCUAGCUACAGGCUUAACACAUGCAAGUCGAGGGGCAGCAUGGAAGAAGCUUGCUUCUUCUGAUGGCGACCGGCGCACGGGUGCGUAACGCGUAUCAAACCUGCCUCAUACUCGGGGAUAGCCUUGCGAAAGUAAGGUUAAUACCCGAUGUUGUUAUGUUACCGCAUGGUGAUAUAACCAAAGAUUUAUCGGUAUGAGAUGGUGAUGCGUCCAAUUAGGUAGUAGGCGGGGUAACGGCCCACCUAGCCUUCGAUCGGUAGGGGUUCUGAGAGGAAGGUCCCCCACACUGGAACUGAGACACGGUCCAGACUCCUACGGGAGGCAGCAGUGAGGAAUAUUGGUCAAUGGACGAAAGUCUGAACCAGCCAAGUAGCGUGCAGGAUGACGGCCCUCCGGGUUGUAAACUGCUUUUAGUUGGGAAUAAAAAAGAGGACGUGUCCUCUAUUGUAUGUACCUUCAGAAAAAGGACCGGCUAAUUCCGUGCCAGCAGCCGCGGUAAUACGGAAGGUCCAGGCGUUAUCCGGAUUUAUUGGGUUUAAAGGGUGCGUAGGCCGUUUGAUAAGCGUGCUGUGAAAUAUAGUGGCUCAACCUCUAUCGUGCAGCGCGAACUGUUGAACUUGAGUGCGUAGUAGGUAGGCGGAAUUCGUGGUGUAGCGGUGAAAUGCUUAGAUAUCACGAAGAACUCCGAUUGCGAAGGCAGCUUACCGUAACGUUACUNACGCUUAAGCACGAAGGUGCGGGUAUCGAANNGG